CAGUAGCCACGGUAAUACGAAGGGGGCUAGCGUUGUUCGGAAUUACUGGGCGUAAAGCGCACGUAGGCGGAUAUUUAAGUCAGGGGUGAAAUCCCGCAGCUCAACUGCGGAACUGCCUUUGAUACUGGGUAUCUUGAGUAUGGAAGAGGUUAGUGGAAUUGCGAGUGUAGAGGUGAAAUUCGUAGAUAUUCGCAGGAACACCAGUGGCGAAGGCGGCUAACUGGUCCAUAACUGACGCUGAGGUGCGAAAGCGUGGGGAGCAAACAGGAUUAGAUACCCGGGUAGUCCCUGUCUCUUAUAC
Molecule: ribosomal RNA, 301 nt
Filed under: uncultured bacterium
Lineage: Bacteria
Description: partial 16S ribosomal RNA
Rfam family: Bacterial small subunit ribosomal RNA
Source: RNAcentral